RNAcentral lists this ribosomal RNA (841 nucleotides) under uncultured Actinomycetes bacterium. RNAcentral describes it as "bacterial SSU rRNA". It matches the Rfam family "Bacterial small subunit ribosomal RNA", at positions 78 to 897 of the family's 1533-position model. Lineage: Bacteria; Bacillati; Actinomycetota; Actinomycetes. The record is from RNAcentral.
UUCGGGGGGCGAGUAGAGUGGCGCACGGGUGAGUAACACGUAGGUAAUCUACCUUUGGAUUGGGAAUAACCACCGGAAACGGUGGCUAAUACCGAAUAAUGCAGCGGCACCUAAUGGUGACAGUUGUUAAAGCGGGGGAUCGCAAGACCUCGCGUCUGAAGAGGAGCCUGCGGCAGAUUAGCUAGUUGGUAAGGUAACGGCUUACCAAGGCGAUGAUCUGUAGCCGGCCUGAGAGGGCGGUCGGCCACACUGACACUGACAUACGGGUCAGACUCCUACGGGAGGCAGCAGUCGGGAAUUUUGGGCAAUGGGCGCAAGCCUGACCCAGCAACGCCGCGUGAAGGAUGAAAUCCCUCGGGAUGUAAACUUCGCAAGAACGGGAAGAAUAAGUAAGAGCUAACAUCUCUUACGAUGACGGUACUGUUUGUAAGCUCCGGCUAACUCCGUGCCAGCAGCCGCGGUAAUACGGGGGGAGCAAGCGUUGUUCGGAUUUACUGGGCGUAAAGGGCGCGUAGGCGGCCACCGCAAGUCGACUGUGAAAUCUCCGGGCUUAACCCGGAAAGGUCAGCCGAUACUGCGGGGCUAGAGUGCAGAAGGGGCAACUGGAAUUCUCGGUGUAGCGGUGAAAUGCGUAGAUAUCGAGAGGAACACCUGCGGCGAAGGCGGGUUGCUGGGCUGACACUGACGCUGAUGUGCGAAAGCUAGGGGAGCGAACGGGAUUAGAUACCCCGGUAGUCCUAGCCUUAAACGAUGAAUGCUUGGUGUCUGGGGUUUUAUAGUCCCCGGGUGCCGUCGCUAACGCUUUAAGCAUUCCGCCUGGGGAGUACGGUCGCAAGACUGA